Molecule: ribosomal RNA, 185 nt
Filed under: uncultured bacterium
Lineage: Bacteria
Description: partial 16S ribosomal RNA
Rfam family: Bacterial small subunit ribosomal RNA
Source: RNAcentral
UAGGGAAUCUUCCACAAUGGACGAAAGUCUGAUGGAGCAACGCCGCGUGAGUGAAGAAGGGUUUCGGCUCGUAAAGCUCUGUUGGUAGUGAAGAAAGAUAGAGGUAGUAACUGGCCUUUAUUUGACGGUAAUUACUUAGAAAGUCACGGCUAACUACGUGCCAGCAGCCGUGGUAAUCUCUCUCU